UCCUGGCUUAGGACGAACGCUGGCGGCGUGCCUAACACAUGCAAGUCGAGCGGAGUCGGUAAGAGGAAGUUUCGGAUGGAAUCUUAUUGAUUUAGCGGCGGACGGGUGAGUAACGCGUGAGCGACCAACCUUGCACAGGGGGAUAACGGACCGAAAGGUUCACUAAUACCGCAUGAGACCACGGUGUUGCAUGACACAGAGGUCAAAGGAGCAAUCCGGUGCAAGACGGGCUCGCGUCCGAUUAGGUAGUUGGAGGGGUAACGGCCCACCAAGCCUAUGAUCGGUAGCCGACCUGAGAGGGUGAUCGGCCACAUUGGAACUGAGAUACGGUCCAAACUCCUACGGGAGGCAGCAGUGGGGAAUAUUGGGCCAAUGGGGGAAACCCUGACCCAGCAACGCCGCGUGAAGGAAGAAGGUUUUCGGAUUGUAAACUUCUGUCCUUGGUGAAGAGAAGAAGACGGUAGCCAAGGAGGAAGCCCCGGCUAACUACGUGCCAGCCGCCGC
This 504-nucleotide ribosomal RNA is filed under the name uncultured bacterium. Its description in RNAcentral is "bacterial SSU rRNA". It matches the Rfam family "Bacterial small subunit ribosomal RNA", at positions 17 to 518 of the family's 1533-position model. The record is from RNAcentral.